RNAcentral lists this transfer RNA (72 nucleotides) under Camelus bactrianus (Bactrian camel). It matches the Rfam family "tRNA". From Rfam's summary of the family: Transfer RNA (tRNA) molecules are approximately 80 nucleotides in length. Their secondary structure includes four short double-helical elements and three loops (D, anti-codon, and T loops). The record is from Rfam by way of RNAcentral. RNAcentral also lists the same sequence under 2 other names. Lineage: Eukaryota; Metazoa; Chordata; Mammalia; Artiodactyla; Camelidae.
GAGGGUAUAGCUCAGUGGUAGAGCAUAUGCCUAGCAUGCACAAGUUCCUGGGUUCAAUCCCCAAUACCUCCA